This 375-nucleotide ribosomal RNA is filed under the name uncultured organism. RNAcentral describes it as "partial 16S ribosomal RNA". It matches the Rfam family "Bacterial small subunit ribosomal RNA", at positions 527 to 896 of the family's 1533-position model. The record is from RNAcentral.
GUAGGUGGCAAGCGUUGUCCGGAAUUAUUGGGCGUAAAGCGCGCGCAGGUGGUUCUUUAAGUCUGAUGUGAAAGCCCCCGGCUCAACCGGGGAGGGUCAUUGGAAACUGGGGAACUUGAGUGCAGGAGAGGAAAGUGGAAUUCCACGUGUAGCGGUGAAAUGCGUAGAUAUGUGGAGGAACACCAGUGGCGAAGGCGACUUUUCUGGCCUGUAACUGACACUGAGGCGCGAAAGCGUGGGGAGCAAACAGGGAUUAGAUACCCUGGUAGUCCACGCCGUAAACGAUGAGUGCUAAGUGUUGGGGGGGGUUUCCGCCCCCUCAGUGCUGCAGCUAACGCAUUAAGCACUCCGCCUGGGAGUACGGUCGCAAGACUG